This 6687-nucleotide long non-coding RNA is filed under the name Drosophila guanche. Lineage: Eukaryota; Metazoa; Arthropoda; Insecta; Diptera; Drosophilidae. The record is from RNAcentral.
UUAAAUCAGUGUUGGUUAUGAACAAAACAGUUUGGGUGAACAUUGCCAACUGAUUUCUAAAUGAAUCUUCAGCAUUUUUGUUGUGUUCUUUGAUUGGUUUUUUCUUUCGAGCAAUCAACAUAGAAAAGGAGCUACAACUAGGAUGGAUAUAGAGAUGGACAGAGAAGAGCGGUUAAAAUGAGUACGAAUCGACGAACUGACGGAUUAAAGAGGUGAGUGAGUAGAGCAAUGGGGGAGGGAGUGGGUGUUGGAGGGUUGAGUGAUUAUCAUUAAGCGCCAGAGUAGUCGCCAUUUAGCACGCACAACGAACUGCAGCAUCCACAGCAGCAGUUGCAACAAUGUUUGAGUAAUUGUUUGCUGUUGCAGCAGCAGCAGCAACUGCUGCAUCAACAGCAACUGCAGAUACAACAAAAUUUGCAUGCAAGCGCAAACUGCUCCUCCCCUUAACCAACCCCUGGCAGCUGCUGCUGCUGUGUGGCAGCACACGUAACUGAACAGUGGCAACAACUGCAGCAGUAAUUGCAACAAACAAUUAGCGUCACUUGGAUUUAUGUUUACGAGCGACUGUCUCGACAUUUUUGGCCACAAUGACACCAUCCUGCCCGACUCUUCGUCUGACACUGUCACUAUCUGCAUGCCCCAUCAGUUGCCCUCUCUCCAUUUAUGGUUGUCAACGAGAAAAAGUUGAUCAAUCAAGGGGAAUAAUUUAUUUACGAUUCGAUGAACGAACGAAUAAAAUAACUUUAUGGAUUUUUUCGCCAGUGAUUACCAUCUUUGGACCGCGUAUCUGUCUAUAAACGUAUUUACACAAAUUGGCAAAACCGUGCAAAACAUUUGCAAGAAUAAUACAAAACCUAGCCGACAUUUAGCGAGGGUUUUAUACUGGAAUAUCUAUGGAGUACUUACUUAUUACUUACUUAUGUACUUAUUUUAAGCAAAGUCCUGCAGACGUUUUUUCUCUAUACGCUAGUAUCCACUAGUAUAUUAUUUAUAUUUAUACAUCCUGGUUAAUAUCUGGAGAAGUUUCAGCAUAUGUAAACUCAAUUUGUCUUCCGAUUCUUUCUCAGAUGAUUUAUGUUUUAAUUGGCCCAUUCUGCCGCAAGCUUCAAGCCCAGACGACAGACGACAGACACCAGACACCCCCACCGUUCGCUUGUAAUGAAUGCUGUUGCAACAUGUAAAUGACGUCAUUACAAGACGUGGGGCGUGGCAGGACAGUCGACGGCCGACGGACUUCCCUCCGUAUUCAUGGAAAGGGAAGAACCAUACAUAGGAUAGAACUCGCGAAAAGUAGUCACGACCAGUAGACAAACAUGUUGGCACAGUCCCGAACACUUGUGCAACGCCCACGAACACUUUCGAUUAGACUUUGAAUCACUUCUGCUGCAUUUCAUUCAAUUUGUUUCUGAAUUUUAUUUUGUUUUGUUAAACUUUUCAAGAAUUUAUGAGUUUAGUAUUCGGAGUAUCACUACUUUAUAAUAGGCAUGAAACGAGGAGGGACGUGUGAGUCGUACUCUGUACUCAGUUGUACAAAUGUGAUCGGUGAUCUUAUGGUCAUUGCGGAUACAGCCGAUUUUUGUCCUUUAAUGGGGCGGAAGGGGGCGUGGAGAAAUUUUGGAGUACAUUUGUACGAGUGUGAGAUUACAGCCGUCUAGAUGCAAAACUUGGUUACCUUACCUCUAAUGGUCUCUGAGUACUAGGCGCCCAUAACGACGGUCAGACGGACGGAGGGACAGACAGACAGACAGAUAUAGACACGGGUACUGAUGCUGAUCAUGAAUAUAUAUGUGCGCAAAUACAAUAUACCCUUUUUAUUCUUCGAGUACCGGGUAUAAAAAAUAUACAGAAUUAACCCAAUAAUCAAUCAAUCAAAGAUGGACCUAAAAUGAAUGUCAAGUCCGGGCCUCCUACAGACAAAACCCAAAGAGCAGCACAAACACAAAAAGUUAUAUUUGAUCUAAAGGCGCCGCCGCAUACGCAUCCUGGGAAACAUCCUUCUGUCUGGUCUAUGUGGGUGGGCCUUGAAAAUGUAGUGUCGUGUAUGUGUGUGGGAGAUGCCUUAGUUUUCCUCUUAGUCGGCAUAAAUGAUGUGAAACAAUUUGUAUUUCCACCAACGUUUCCACUGCCUCUGCCACUCCGUGGACAGUGCUGUUGGUAAACAAAACUCUUCCUCACUCCUGGGGUUUAUUUAAAUUUCCGGCCGACGGGCAAACAAAAUUGCAAAGACAACAACAGGAGCAGGAUCUAAGGAAUAGUUGCAGGGUGGCUCGACAUGUGUGAGGUUUUCUAUUAUAUGUUAAAUGUUAUGAUUUAUUAUGUGCGGGUUCAAGUUGAUGGUGUGGUCAUAAAUUGCGACCCUUCGGUGCGCCUUUGACUGUGUGUGCCUCUUGUUUGUUCCCCCAGCGUUCCUUUGUGUCUGGUUUGCCAGCAGCAGUUAAGUCAAUUAAUUGGCCUUAAAAUGUAUUAGUUUUUUGCCACCCGAAUAAACACCUCACCACACACCUUCCUGCAACCCAUCCUGCCUUGAUUUAUUGUUCGUGGAAUGCCGAAACAACAAAAGAAACAUUUUUUCUUUUCGACUUUGGCUUUGGCACGCACUCACGCGGUCGCACACUUGAUGACUUGAGGUGACUUACACUACUUGCUCCCUGAGGUGUGUCAUUUGCAUAUAAAUAGAUAUGUAAGCUAAAAUGUGAUCCACAUGAGGUAAUAUUAUCUCGGUAUUCGCGGCGAAAAGGCCUAUCUGCUUCGCGUGUUACCGAUAUUUUCCGAGUUCCUUGUUUCUCGCACAUUUUCCAUUAAAUUAGCCUUCAUGUCAAAUUGUGACAUAGAAACUGUUGGUAGACGGUUGUAUUGUACUAAAUUAUUAACUGGACCAAAGUGAAGCGCACAAAUAAAAAGUGUCCAACAUUUGUAUGAAACAAACUGUCCAAAUGCCUGCUUGUCCUGGACUGUGUAGGAGCUACCUUGACAACUGUAAGAAGUGGCUCUUUAGUGGGAGAGUGGGGUUUUAGCAUUUAUUUACGAUAAAGAAAUCAUAUUGUUCGGAGCUGCAGCAAAAAUAUAUUAUUAUUAAGAUCAGCUCGCCUUGUUUGUAAUUACACUCUUUUUAUAAUCUCUUGUACUAAUAUGAUAUUUUUCCGCUCAUCGCUCCCUCUCACAGUGCAAAGAAGCGCACGCAUGUGUAUGCACCCUCCGUACUGCUUAUAUUUCAGUGCUUUGCCCUUUUCUAGGGACCAGUCUAAAAUAUUGUCCAUCGCCGCGAAUCUCCGAGCAGUCCAAUUAAUUCUUUAUUUUGUAUGUCCAUCGCGAACCCGUUACUUUAAUCGAGCUCUAAACCAUUGUAAAUUUUAACACACCGAAUCGUAGUUCACGGCCACGCCCCCUAUAAAUUGUAAAAAUUAGUAAUUUUUUGAGUUCACAAUUUUUACUAACAUUUGUACCUGGUUAGUGCGGAGUCAUCGUCUGCGACUAACCAAUUUCGCUGUAGCAAUUAAAUUUAAAAAAAAUAUAUAUAUAAAUUCGUACAAUAAUAAGCAAAUAUAUCAAAAGGUAAAACGGAGAAUAAUUGUCGAAAAUGUGGAGUCAGAGUUACCGGAAAAGCUCGGCAGCUUCCAACACAUAUUUUGUAUGGUUUUUUUUUUCUUCAAGGAACCAAAAAAAACUUUUCCUGAAAGAUUUGGGGCUUUAUAAUUACACCCGGUACUUGAAGAGUAAAUAGGAAGAGUAUAGGGUAUAUUGUAUUUGUGGUCGGAGCCGGAACGCACAAAAGGAAACGUUUCCGACCAUAUAAAGUAUAUAUAUUCGGAGACUAUUAAAGGUACAGCCACCAAAUUUUGCAUCGAGAUUGCUCCAAUAUCAUACUGGCACAAUUGUAUUCCGUAGAGAAUGUUCUAAUUAGGAUCAGAUUUGAUCUUUAGUAUAGGCAGAAUGGCGAAAUUCAAGUCCAGUGCCUACCCCACACCCCUUCCAGCAGCUUUGUUUUUUUUUUUUUUGCUCAUACUAUCUUAAUGUUAAUGUGAGAAGGAAUGUAGAUGUAGAUAACAUAAGUAGGACAAAUGCAAAGUGUUAAAUGUAAAAUUUGAAAAAAUCAUUAAGUUAAUACAUAUGAACAUGUACAUACAUACAUAUGUAGAUAUGUAUGUAUCACUCUAAGGUUACAUACACACAUAAGUAUGACUGAAUGUACAUACAUAUGUACAUAAAUAUAUAUACUGACUGAGUACCGGGUAUAAGAGUUGUGACGCUUACUAUGCGUCUCACAAACAUCCCUACUCUGUUUUUUAGACAUGCAUUUAUUCGGCGUCGUUUAAAUCGUCUCAGCUAAAAUUGGUCGACCAACUUUAAAAAAAUUAAAUAUAAAAUAGAAUACAGAUCAGUCGAAAUCGUCACUCGUUCUCAGUCAGUCACGAAUACUUUAAUGUAACAAAUGCAAACUUGGGGCUACUAUAGUAGAAAUAAAUUCAACAUUACUUAAUAAAUGUUCAUAACUGCCGUCAAGCAAUUAUAAAACAACCACAUUUAUAUGUCGGUACUUAAAGGAAAAUUAAGGGUUUGGAGGAUUGGCCAAACCAUUUUAGAUCCACCGUCUCUCCAUAGAUUUUGAUGAGCAAUAGUUAACACGUUACCGAAUAAGUGCACCUGUUCAAAAAAAUAGGAAACAGAAUACAAUUUGUUGUUUUCCUUUACCUGAGUUGCUAAUGUCAAAGUUUAGUUAAAAAUACUGCAUAUAACAAUUAAUAUCUGUGUUGAAAGUAGCAGCAGUGAGUUAGCAGCGGGCUGUUGUUAACAGCCGGAGCUCGCUCGCGCUCUCACUCCCUACGCUCUCGCGCUCUUCCUCUUUCCUGGGGCUCGCGAGCUGGCGGGCAGCCAGCCGCUAAGCUAAGCUCAGUUUCCUACUCACCCCCGUACAUUCCGGUACACGCGAGUCGAUACAUUAAAUUCCAUAUAUACAUCCAUACAUACACAAAAUACAUACUUUUCUACACCCACGCCAUUUCGAGUGCACAAUAAACCACCAUAAACAUCGAACAUACGGUGCCUUUUAAUUUAGGGACGCUUGGACCUUCCGAAGACUUUAUCUGCAGCGAAAGGAAGCCGCCCUACUACAAACAUUGGUAUUUCGAGCCGGAUUCUUGCUGAAUCGAGAUUGUCCCAGCAAGCGUCGGUGGAUUCCAGACAAAAACUUCUGAUAAAAUUGUAUAUCCUUACAUUCUAUAAUUACAUUGAACAAUUAUAAUAAAUAAUAAUAAACAGGGCUAAUCCUGGGGAGAAAAUACCGCAAAAAUACCGAUUACUUCACAUCUACAUACCACACUUGGUAUAUGUAUGCACCUCCGCGUUGGUCCGAUACGCAGUACCAGCACCCGCUGCUUAUGAAAAUUUCGCAAUUACCGAGAUUUUAAGCAUUCCAGGCGCACUUGAAGUGAACCACCGGCAGCAUAAUUUCCCCCACAAAGACCUUCAGAGCACCAUUCAAGGGGUUCUAACCGCCCUGGCUAACUCCAAGGUCUGCACAGACAAUUGGGAUAGUCUUCUUGUUACUAUCUGUCCUUCCAAGCUGCCAAAACUGACCCGGGCUCUGUGGGAAGUGUCAGUAACUGACAAAAAGGUAAUGCCUCCAUGGACGGAAAUGGACUCCUUCCUCACACACCGAUACUUGACGCUAGAGGCCAUGGACCUGCGACCCUUCCCAGGCUAGGAGCGAUCCGCAUCCGCCACCGUCCAAAGGCAUUCAAAAUCCGAAACCCUCCGGAAGCCACUCCAACCCGUUCCGGUCUCAUGGCAGUCCUCUUCCGAGGAAUUUUCAAUCCUUCAAUACAGGCGUGAAUCCGAAGAAGUGUGAUCUUUGUUCCAAGGAAGAUCAUCCAAUCUGACUCUGCCCGCAAUUCCUCCAAAUGGACGUUGAAGCACGUUCUAGCUGCAUUAAGACGAAGCAGUUGUGCUUAAACUGUUUUGCACGAGGUCACCAGCUACAAGAGUGUACAAGCGCCCACAAUUGCGUCACGUGUGGAGCCCGUCACCACACGAUGCUGCAUCGCGGUACUCCAGCAUCCUGUGAGUCGUCCACAUUCGUACCCAAUUCGACAGCUUGGCCUGGCCCAGGCAUACCAGUACAUACUACACAGAAUUCAGGUUUAGCCGAACCUCAGUCUCAUGUCCAGACAUUUUUUACCUCCAUGCUCCGCUCCGUUCCGCAAAUCACUAAUGCUUCUUCAUGCAUACAUGCCUUCCGCAUGCAUACAUGGCGUCUCGGUCGCAUGGCGACCGCACCACUCAGAGCAGACGUUCCCGAGGCAAUGAGUCCUACCAAUGCCGAGUCUGCUCUGAAAUCCAUCCUCUACGGAAGUGUCACCGAUUUCUCCGCCUAAGGACCGAAGAUAGGCUCCGAGCUGUCUGAAACUUCAGCUACUGCACCAAUUGCCUGGCUCACCAGCACUCCGGACAGGAUUGCCGAAGCGGCGACCGGUGUAAGGUGUGUGACAGGAGGCACCACACGUUGCUGCACAUGGACAUGUUAACAGCCGGAGCUCGCUCGCGCUCUCACUCCCUACGCUCUCGCGCUCUUUCCUCUUUCCUGACGCUCGCGAGUUGGCGGACAGCCAGCCGCUAAGCUAAGCUCAGUUCGCUACAUUAAAUUCGAUACAUUAAAUUCCAUAUAUACAUCCAUACAUACACAAAAUACAU